This 660-nucleotide long non-coding RNA is filed under the name Malus domestica (apple). RNAcentral describes it as "long non-coding RNA (MDOM_LNC014736)". Lineage: Eukaryota; Viridiplantae; Streptophyta; Magnoliopsida; Rosales; Rosaceae. The record is from RNAcentral.
GUGCUCUGAACUCUUGGUCUGUGACGAGGGAUUUGGUAGGGUCUCAGAAGCAUACGCACUUCUUGAAGAAGGGUUUCCAUAUGACUUAGAAGUCUCUACAUCUUCAGGUGAAGGACUCUUGGAUUCUCGAACUGGUUUAGGAGCUGCUUGUUCUGCUGGUCUAUGCCACUCCUGACUUCCUGGAUGCUCUGAGCUCCUGGUCUGGGAGGAGGGCUUUGGUAGACUUUCAGCGGCAUAGGAACUCCUUGAUGAGGGGUUUCCAUAUGACUUUGAAGUCUCCACAAGUGAGGAUCUCUUGGACUCUGGCAUUGGUUUAGGAGCUGCUUGUUCUACUGGUUUAUGCCACUCUUGACUUCCUGGACUAUCUGAACUCUUCGCCUGGGACAAGGACUUUGGUAAAGUUUCAGUGGCAUCGGAACUCCUUGAAAUGGAGUUUCUGUUUGAAUUUGAAGUCUCUACAGGUGAUGUCCUCUUGGAUUCUCGUACUGGUUUAGGAGCAACUUGUUCUACAGGUCUAUUCCACUCCUGCUCUGAGCUCUUGAUCUGGGACGAGGGCUUUACUACAGUUUCAGUGUCAUAUGAACUCCUUGAAGAGGGUUUUCCAUACUCUGAAGUCCCUGACAAGUCAGAAACUACUGUUGUCUUUGAGCUAGAGCUUCU